CCGUACUGGUUGUUUGCUUGGGUGAUGGGGGCCAUGUGUCUCCCGCAGGCUAGGCGUGGCUCUUUCACCUGGAGGCAGUAGUAGGGUUUACAGAAGUAACUAGUGACAGCAAGCCUCGUAUAUUUUCUGUUGUCCAUAGGCCAAAGCAGAUCAACAUGGCCAAUUCCAGAGUUGGUAUGGGAGGGGUUUCCUAACUGAGUG
This 201-nucleotide long non-coding RNA is filed under the name Homo sapiens (human). RNAcentral describes it as "HSALNT0111544". Lineage: Eukaryota; Metazoa; Chordata; Mammalia; Primates; Hominidae. The record is from RNAcentral.